This 441-nucleotide ribosomal RNA is filed under the name uncultured bacterium. RNAcentral describes it as "partial 16S ribosomal RNA". It matches the Rfam family "Bacterial small subunit ribosomal RNA", at positions 338 to 795 of the family's 1533-position model. The record is from RNAcentral.
CCUACGGGAGGCAGCAGUGGGGAAUAUUGCGCAAUGGGGGCAACCCUGACGCAGCAACGCCGCGUGAUUGAAGAAGGCCUUCGGGUUGUAAAGAUCUUUAAUCGGGGACGAAUUUUGACGGUACCCGAAGAAUAAGCUCCGGCUAACUACGUGCCAGCAGCCGCGGUAAUACGUAGGGAGCAAGCGUUAUCCGGAUUUACUGGGUGUAAAGGGCGUGUAGGCGGGCAUGCAAGUUAGUAGCGUGAUUCCGGAGCUCAACUUCGGCACUACUACUAAAACUGUUGGACUUGAGUGCAGGAGGGGCAACUGGAAUUUCUAGUGUAGCGGUGGAAUGCGUAGAUAUUAGGAAGAACACCGGUGGCGAAGGCGAGUUGCUGGACUGUAACUGACACUGAGGCACGAAAGCGUGGGGAGCAAACAGGAUUAGAUACCCGAGUAGUC